UUCGCCCUUAGAGUUUGAUCCUGGCUCAGGACGAACGCUGGCGGCGCGCCUAACACAUGCAAGUCGAACGGAGCUAUGUUGAAAGCUUGCUGGAUAUAUAGCUUAGUGGCGGACGGGUGAGUAACACGUGAGCAACCUGCCUUUCAGAGUGGAAUAACGUUUGGAAACGAACGCUAAUACCGCAUAAUGUCAGAGGAUGGCAUCAUUCUUUGACCAAAGAUUUAUCGCUGAAAGAUGGGCUCGCGGCCGAUUAGGUAGUUGGUGAGAUAAUAGCCCACCAAGCCGACGAUCGGUAGCCGGACUGAGAGGUUGAACGGCCACAUUGGGACUGAGACACGGCCCAGACUCCUACGGGAGGCAGCAGUGGGGGAUAUUGCACAAUGGGGGAAACCCUGAUGCAGCGACGCCGCGUGAGGGAAGACGGCCUUCGGGUUGUAAACCUCUGUCUUCGGGGACGAAUAAAUGACGGUACCCGAGGAGGAAGCCACGGCUAACUACGUGCCAGCAGCCGCGGUAAUACGUAGGUGGCAAGCGUUGUCCGGAAUUACUGGGUGUAAAGGGAGCGUAGGCGGGGAAGCAAGUUGAAUGUCUAAACUAUCGGCUCAACUGAUAGUCGCGUUCAAAACUGCCACUCUUGAGUGCAGUAGAGGUAGGUGGAAUUCCUAGUGUAGCGGUGAAAUGCGUAGAUAUUAGGAGGAACACCAGUGGCGAAGGCGGCCUACUGGGCUGUAACUGACGCUGAGGCUCGAAAGCGUGGGUAGCAAACAGGAUUAGAUACCCUGGUAGUCCACGCCGUAAACGAUGAUUACUAGGUGUGGGGGGACUGACCCCUUCCGUGCCGGAGUUAACACAAUAAGUAAUCCACCUGGGGAGUACGGCCGCAAGGCUGAAACUCAAAGGAAUUGACGGGGGCCCGCACAAGCAGUGGAGUAUGUGGUUUAAUUCGAAGCAACGCGAAGAACCUUACCAAGUCUUGACAUCCUUCUGACCGGUACUUAACCGUACCUUCUCUUCGGAGCAGGAGUGACAGGUGGUGCAUGGUUGUCGUCAGCUCGUGUCGUGAGAUGUUGGGUUAAGUCCCGCAACGAGCGCAACCCUUAUCUUUAGUAGCCAGCGGUCCGGCCGGGCACUCUGGAGAGACUGCCAGGGAUAACCUGGAGGAAGGUGGGGAUGACGUCAAAUCAUCAUGCCCCUUAUGAGCAGGGCUACACACGUGCUACAAUGGCGUAAACAAAGGGAGGCAGAACCGCGAGGUCGAGCAAAUCCCAAAAAUAACGUCUCAGUUCGGAUUGUAGUCUGCAACUCGACUACAUGAAGCUGGAAUCGCUAGUAAUCGCGAAUCAGAAUGUCGCGGUGAAUACGUUCCCGGGUCUUGCACUCACCGCCCGUCA
This 1391-nucleotide ribosomal RNA is filed under the name uncultured bacterium. RNAcentral describes it as "16S ribosomal RNA". It matches the Rfam family "Bacterial small subunit ribosomal RNA". The record is from RNAcentral.